UGUGCAAGUAACUGAGACAGAGAACUUUGGUUUGCUGGAUGACUUGUUUGAGUUAGAUGAUAUUCCAGAGACUGCAGAACCAGGAAAGUCAGCAUUGGAUUUAUAUUUAGAGGAGUCAAAACUAGAAAUGAGAGCUCAUCAUGAUUUGAAUGUGUUGCGAUAUUGGAAAGAGAACAGGCAUCGUUUUGGCGCACUUGCAUUCAUGGCAAUGGACAUUCUCAGCAUACCUAUUACUACUGUGGCGUCCGAGUCUUCUUUCAGUAUUGGAGCUCACAUUAUAAACAAGUACAGAACUCGCCUUAUUCCUAAAAAUGUGCAAGCUUUAUUGUGUACUAGGUCUUGGAUUCAUGGCUAUAAAGUUGAUGGUGAAGAUGAAGAUGAAGAAGAUGAGAUAGUCAUUAUCCGAGAGGCUCCAUGUCAAGCAUUAACAACUCAAGACCAUGUUGGUACCAUGGAAUUAUAGCUGGUGGUACCUGAAAGAUCAAUUUUCUUCAUUGAAGAUGGGAAGAAGGUUCAGGCUGGUUAAUGAUCACGUUUGUCUUUGUUUUUUUGUUUUUUUUUUGGCAUGGCAGGUUCAUGUAGACGAACUAGUUUCCGAGUCCUCCCAUGUGUUUUUUCUUAUUACCAAACGUUUCUGUUUUUCUUUGUGGAUUUUAACAUCAUAAAACUAUUUUUUUUUUUUAA
This is a long non-coding RNA of Raphanus sativus (radish), 684 nucleotides long. RefSeq lists it as uncharacterized. The transcript is spliced from 4 exons. The record is from RefSeq and is a predicted model, not a curated record. Lineage: Eukaryota; Viridiplantae; Streptophyta; Magnoliopsida; Brassicales; Brassicaceae.